Molecule: ribosomal RNA, 301 nt
Filed under: uncultured bacterium
Lineage: Bacteria
Description: partial 16S ribosomal RNA
Rfam family: Bacterial small subunit ribosomal RNA
Source: RNAcentral
CAGCAGCCGCGGGAAUACGAAGGGUGCAAGCGUUAAUCGGAAUUACUGGGCGUAAAGCGUGCGUAGGCGGUGAGUUAAGUCUGCUGUGAAAUCCCCGGGCUCAACCUGGGAAUGGCAGUGGAUACUGGCUCGCUAGAGUGUGUCAGAGGAUGGUGGAAUUCCCGGUGUAGCGGUGAAAUGCGUAGAGAUCGGGAGGAACAUCAGUGGCGAAGGCGGCCAUCUGGGACAACACUGACGCUGAGGCACGAAAGCGUGGGGAGCAAACAGGAUUAGAUACCCGAGUAGUCCCUGUCUCUUAUAA